This 393-nucleotide ribosomal RNA is filed under the name uncultured archaeon. RNAcentral describes it as "bacterial SSU rRNA". It matches the Rfam family "Archaeal small subunit ribosomal RNA", at positions 85 to 480 of the family's 1478-position model. The record is from RNAcentral.
ACUGCUCAGUAACACGUGGACAACCUGCCCUUAGGACGGGUAUAAACCCGGGAAACUGGGUAUAAUUCCCGAUAGGUCUCGUCUGCUGGAAUGCAUCGAGAUCCAAAGCUCCGGCGCCUAAGGAUGGGUCUGCGGCCUAUCAGGUAGUAGUGGGUGUAGCGUACCUACUAGCCUACAACGGGUACGGGUUGUGAGAGCAAGAGCCCGGAGAUGGAUUCUGAGACACUAAUCCAGGCCCUACGGGGUGCAGCAGGCGCGAAAACUUUACAAUGCUGGGAACAGCGAUAAGGGAACCUCGAGUGCCAGGUUACAAAUCUGGCUGUCGUGAUGCCUAAAAAGCAUUAUAUAGCAAGGGCCGGGCAAGACCGGUGCCAGCAGCCGCGGUAAUACGAU